This 282-nucleotide ribosomal RNA is filed under the name uncultured Rhodobacterales bacterium. RNAcentral's name for it is "partial 16S ribosomal RNA". It matches the Rfam family "Bacterial small subunit ribosomal RNA", at positions 505 to 784 of the family's 1533-position model. The record is from RNAcentral. Lineage: Bacteria; Pseudomonadati; Pseudomonadota; Alphaproteobacteria; Rhodobacterales.
GUGCCAGCAGCCGCGGUAAUACGGAGGGGGCUAGCGUUGUUCGGAAUUACUGGGCGUAAAGCGCACGUAGGCGGAUCAGAAAGUUGGGGGUGAAAUCCCGGGGCUCAACCUCGGAACUGCCUUCAAAACUAUUGGUCUUGAGUUCGAGAGAGGUGAGUGGAAUUCCGAGUGUAGAGGUGAAAUUCGUAGAUAUUCCGGAGGAACACCCAGUGGCGAAGGCGGCUCACUGGCUCGAUACUGACGCUGAGGUGCGAAAGCGUGGGGAGCAAACAGGAUUAGAUA